Argiope bruennichi is the source of this 372-nucleotide long non-coding RNA. RefSeq lists it as uncharacterized. NCBI's taxonomy places the organism in Eukaryota, Metazoa, Arthropoda, Arachnida, Araneae, Araneidae. The transcript has 3 exons. The record is from RefSeq and is a predicted model, not a curated record.
AGCUGAUCACGUGAUUGAGCGGCAGACAAUUUAUCUCCCGUUCCCACCUUUUGUUUUGAAUUACUAAUAAGUACAAACUGAUGUUUAUUUGCCCGUAAAUGAAGGAGACAAAAAAUUGUGUGCCUGUUUGAAAUGCUGAAGAAUUUAAUAUAAAAGUAUGCAGUAAGAAAGUUCGUUAAUCAGUGUUGGUUACGAGAUACUACAAUCUCACCACACUUUCGGCCCUCAGUGGACCACGACCUUCGUUUUACAAUGGUCGUAGAUGGACCGCAACACCUUAAGAAAAUUAGACGUAGCCCUUACCCUGGAAAAGUCUGCUCAUCCUUGCUCUAAACACUAUUCAGCACUUCUAUGAUUCGACUUCCAGGCGAA